This is a long non-coding RNA of Stegodyphus dumicola, 873 nucleotides long. Lineage: Eukaryota; Metazoa; Arthropoda; Arachnida; Araneae; Eresidae. The record is from RefSeq and is a predicted model, not a curated record.
AAGUCAGAGACUGGCGCUGGUUCUUUUCUGAAUAAACGUUGGACUUGAUGGAUGCCAGAUUCGCUCUCUGUUACUGUCACUUCGUUAUACCGGCUAUCUGCGGGUUAGAAGGAUAACAGUCAUUCGAACUCCUAAUCGCACGAGAGCAAGAAUCGGGUAUGGAUUCCAUCUGCGGCAAGUACAAGCUGGUGUCCAGUGAUGAACAUUUCGAUGAGUUCCUCAAAGCCUGCGGUUUUUCGAAAGUGGAGAACGCUCUGUAAACAGUCCACACCAACGAUAUAUAUACUGGUAGAGAGCGUAUCUACGACCUCCAACCAGUUCCAGCAUUAGUGUCAUGUGACUUAUGGCCGAAUUUCGAAAGUCCAGAAGUACUUUACAUUCAUUUCUAUGGGACGAAAGACGACUGCUCUGCUUUGUUACGUAAAAUUUAAGAAAAAAUACUUAUUUGCUGCAGCGCCUAUGGAUGUAACGAAAGUUUUGUAAAAGGAAGACCUGUAACCUUUCAUAGGAAAGUUAAACCUGAAUGAUUUAUUAUUCUGUUUUCAGUAUUUUUGCUUUUUACUAUCUCUGUUGAAUUGGUUAGAAAGUCUCGGCGAUAUUGUAUAAGAAAAUUGCCGCUGUAUAUGACAUUUUCAGCAUGUAUUAUUAUCAUCAAAAUGUAUUAAAAAUACUGUGACACUAUCUACUGGAAUCACUCUUUACAUGUAAUUAAAUUUUAUAAUUCUUUUUCCGUGUGCUCCGUUGAAAUAGAAAGCUGCGCCAAUUGGCGUUAACCUUUUUUCGCCUAGUCGUACGCGUUUUGGUUCGUAAACAAGUACUGCCUACACACACACACACACACACACACAAAAAAAAAAAAAAAAAAAAAAAAAA